GCCAGCGUGGCGUAGUGGCUUGAACAUUGGACUAGGAGUCUGAAGUCCAGGGUUCGAUUUCCAGCUCAGCCA
Phrynosoma platyrhinos (Desert horned lizard) is the source of this 72-nucleotide non-coding RNA. The record is from the annotation of a GenBank genome assembly. Lineage: Eukaryota; Metazoa; Chordata; Lepidosauria; Squamata; Phrynosomatidae.